Long non-coding RNA from Sander lucioperca (pikeperch), 1178 nucleotides. RefSeq lists it as uncharacterized. The transcript has 2 exons. NCBI's taxonomy places the organism in Eukaryota, Metazoa, Chordata, Actinopteri, Perciformes, Percidae. The record is from RefSeq and is a predicted model, not a curated record.
GAGGGAUCAUCAUGGACAUCAGACCCAGAGCCAUGAAGGACACCACCUGAAACAGACACAUUCAGUGUCUCUAUUAUUUCUGUUUCUAACGGACAUGGCUGCCUGUUUCAUAGGCCAUAGCUGCAACCUUUGGAACAGCAGAACAGGAAGACCAAACGCAUAUAAGUCAGACCCUCCCACUCCCCUCAGUCCUGACCCCCAAAUCAGAUCCAAAACAUUUAACCGCCCUCUGAAGUCUUUUCUGAACUUGUGAAAUAUUUGCUCUGCUUUGAAGGGCUCUACAUUCAUAAUGACCAUAGGAUAGGCAUGUUUAGGGAUACAGAGAGACCAUACAGGAGAGGUUUCCUGAGGUGGUCGAGCCAAUACAAAGACCGGGGCUGUGUUUACAUCUGGGCCCGGGCCUGAAACAACAGACCUGACAGAGGGAGGCCGGAGCUGGAACAUCCGACAUCUGGAUAGAGGGAGAUCAACUUCACAGCUCCAUGCUGCAGCUUUACACAUCAUCCUCAUCCUUCACUAUCUCACUAGUUCACACCAAAGUUGACCAUAUGUCCAUUUUUAAAAAUACAAUGAAUUUUGGAUUCUAAUCAUCAUGGUAAGCAAAGUUACUGUGCUUUAAAAUCACAUGUUCCCUUUUUUGCGGUCAAAAAUAAAGUGUUAUUUUACACAUAUUCUCAAUACUUUUUUGAAUUAUUAAAAACAAACUAAAAACAAGUUCUUUGGAGAAAUAUCAGAAAUACUCCUUUUCUUUUCAGCCACUGGAAGUGCGUGUUUGUGUUUGAUUGACAGCAGCUGGCAGGCUGAGACGUGACAGGUAAACGACAAACAGUGUAAAGUGUAGCUUACAAACCAUGAGCAGACAGCAUCUUGUUAGUAGUGGUACAGAAGAGUAAGAACCACACUAGCAUCUAUAAAGACCAAAGUGACAUUUGCUGAGAUGUUUAAAUGCUGGUUAAUGUGCUGCAGCUAUGCAGCUGAUUAGCCACCUAGCCUGCAAACUGGCAUUAGAGGUGCACUUUUCGCCAGAAUGUUUGUUUAGGUGCCAGAGCUUAGGUGCCAGUCAAUCGUGUGUCAGACACACGAUUAACUCUGACUUUUUUUCAAAAUAUUGUACCCUUUUAACUUAACAUAACCCAAUUCAGGGCAGGAGCAAAUACACAUGUGUACUUAUAAUUUGA